This 700-nucleotide ribosomal RNA is filed under the name uncultured Polyangiaceae bacterium. RNAcentral describes it as "bacterial SSU rRNA". It matches the Rfam family "Bacterial small subunit ribosomal RNA", at positions 74 to 753 of the family's 1533-position model. Lineage: Bacteria; Pseudomonadati; Myxococcota; Polyangiales; Polyangiaceae. The record is from RNAcentral.
GGGACUUCGGUCCCUGAGUAGAGCGGCGGACGGGUGAGUAACACGUGGGUAAUUUGCCCUUCAGUGGGGGACAACCACCCGAAAGGGUGGCUAAUACCGCAUACGUCAUGAGGAGCUGCGGCUCUUCAUGGGAAAGCUGGCCUCUGAAUAUGCUGGCACUGAAGGAGAAGCCCGCGGUCCAUCAGCUUGUUGGUGAGGUAAUGGCUCACCAAGGCAAAGACGGAUAGCUGGUCUGAGAGGAUGAUCAGCCACACUGGGACUGAGACACGGCCCAGACUCCUACGGGAGGCAGCAGUAGGGAAUAUUGGACAAUGGGCGAAAGCCUGAUCCAGCCACGCCGCGUGAGUGAUGAAGGCCCUCGGGUCGUAAAGCUCUGUGGGGAGAGACGAAACCUUGGCGGUUAAUACCCGUCGAGUUGACGGUAUCUCCUUAGCAAGCACCGGCUAACUCCGUGCCAGCAGCCGCGGUAAUACGGAGGGUGCAAACGUUGCUCGGAAUCAUUGGGCGUAAAGCGCACGUAGGCGGUCUGAUAAGUCGGAUGUGAAAGCCCUCGGCUCAACCGAGGAAGUGCAUUCGAAACUGUCAGACUAGAGUACGGGAGGGGGAUGCGGAAUUCCCGGUGUAGAGGUGAAAUUCGUAGAUAUCGGGAGGAACACCAGAGGCGAAGGCGGCAUCCUGGACCGAUACUGACGCUGAGGUG